RNAcentral lists this small nuclear RNA (24 nucleotides) under Arabidopsis thaliana (thale cress). RNAcentral describes it as "snRNA_18411". Lineage: Eukaryota; Viridiplantae; Streptophyta; Magnoliopsida; Brassicales; Brassicaceae. The record is from RNAcentral.
CUCUUUCUCAUUGUUAGCUAGAUC